UUCAGGUUACAGUAUACUAAAUACUUUUGGCGUUUAAUUCUAUACCCUCUAAAAACAAAAUCGUCAUUUAUUUGAUGACACAAUUCUCUGUAUGGGCACUUGCCAUGACUUUAUUAUUGAACAUGUCUGUGUGCAUGUGGUAGGGAAAACAUUGCUGCAUACUAGUAGAAAUUCACUGUUUUGCUUUAGGUUGAAGACGGUAUAGUACCAGAAAGGCCGUUUACCAAGAAGGCCUUCUCAAAAAGGCCGCAUAAGUGAACCAAAAAGGUGUUGGCGGGAUACCAUCAUCAACUGGAGAUAAGCCGAUUUCCACAAGAACCAGCUUUUCUGCUUUUGAAGCAGGAAUUUUAAUGGAAAUGUUGGCUGCCAAAUGUAGUUGGAGCAGUAGACGGGAGUGUAAUUCUAAUUAUAAAACCAGCUGAAUCUGAAGAAGCUGAUGUGUGAAGGAAAGGGUUUAUUAACAUUACUGAGCGGCUGUCAUUGAUGCCAACAUGUGAUGCCUGCAUCGCACUGGUGGAUGCCUGCCUUUCCAAGCCAAAUGAGUGCUGUGAAACAGCGAAUGCUGUGAAACAGCAAAAAAUUGCAUGCGCCUGCACAACCUGUGCUUGGAAUUAUUCAUUCCGCUGAUAGAGGUAGAAGUUUUGGACAUGAUGGAUCCUGCGGUUACAAACAACGCACCAGUAAAGAGAGCAGCAGUCAAUAAGAGGCAGCAGCUGAUCGAACUGUUUAGUUGAAAAUGUC
Dreissena polymorpha is the source of this 741-nucleotide long non-coding RNA. RefSeq lists it as uncharacterized. The record is from RefSeq and is a predicted model, not a curated record. Lineage: Eukaryota; Metazoa; Mollusca; Bivalvia; Myida; Dreissenidae. The transcript is spliced from 3 exons.